AUCUAGUACAAUCCAUGCAUGCUUCCACAUAUUUUGGCAGGAGAAAGUAGGAGUCCACUGACAAUGGUUUGGGAUAUUACUAGCCAGUGUUCCUGAAUUUAUACAUUUUUUAUCUCUUUCUGCCUUUCACACUUUUUGCUACAGUAAUCUACACACAAGACUUGCUCAAUGCUUUCAUGAUUUUAACCACAAAGAGGAAGAGAAAAACAAGAAGGGCAUGACCUGCCAAGAUUUUGAGAAAAUAAAUGCUAUCAUCACAGGAUGGCCAGAUGACGGACCUAUACAAAUUCACUUUAUAGUAUCAAAUCCUUUUAUCAAAAUCAUCACCAUGAUUUGAAACUCAACAUUGCCUUGGGGAAAUAGCUUCAGGGACAUGCUUACAAUGAAUAUUCUUGAACAUUUUAUUCUAAUGUUUAAGGAAGAACAGUAACAGAGAAGGCAAAACAUCAGCAAGUCAUAACAUUUUGAGUUUUUCAUCUUCAAAUAAAUGAACCAAGGAGGACUAAAAGACAAGUGGUAAAUGAUGAUGCCAAGAGACUCUCCUAAGAAGUUUAUGAGACACAAAAUCUCUCAGCUUUACUUUGUUAAAUACACAAACACUGGAUUACUGUGAAGAAAAAAAUGUGCUACAAGAAAUUACAGUUAGCCUUACCAAAUGGCGAAAUAUUUACACAAAUCAUAUCCUCAUUUUGUGUGUGUUUUUUGUAAGAUGAUGAUUCUUUUGCCAAUAUUUUUUCUCAACAUUUAAG
Long non-coding RNA from Pan paniscus (pygmy chimpanzee), 749 nucleotides. The record is from Ensembl. Lineage: Eukaryota; Metazoa; Chordata; Mammalia; Primates; Hominidae.